CUCCUGCAUUUCUCCCGUCUCUCACCUGCAUCACAUUCACACCCUAUAUGUGAAUCGAAAAGCUAAACGAUAAAAAUAAUGUAGUUAUGUAGUUACACGUAGGUACAGUAGCGGCCCUGAGCACAAGCGGGGGAAGCACAUGCUUGCGGCCUUGCGAAUAAUAUACAAAAUAUCGGCUUUUUUGUUCAACGAAUCUUCGGUAGUGUAGUUGGUUUAUUGGCAGAUUUGUUAUGUCAUAGGUGCAAGGUUCGAAUAGCACCGGCCUCAUUUUCUUCUAUUUAUUUUUCUCUCUUUAAAAGUUACUUAGUAACAGGCCCCAAAAAAUAUUUACUGCUUCCAGCCUACAAAAUUACCGGGCCGGGCCUGCGUAGGUUCGGAAGUGGUCGACUUCCCUUGUAAAGCACGUGUUCAUUACCUAUAGUCCCUUUUUCCCAAAUUGAAACUGUAACCCUACUUUUUCUCUAUUUUCUUCUUCCUCCGAUC
Molecule: long non-coding RNA, 483 nt
Filed under: Brassica napus (rape)
Lineage: Eukaryota; Viridiplantae; Streptophyta; Magnoliopsida; Brassicales; Brassicaceae
Description: long non-coding RNA (BNAP_LNC010808)
Source: RNAcentral